GGAAAAGAGUAAUCAAGGGUGUAUGGGGGAUGCCUCGACAUAAAAAGCCUAUGAAGGACGUAGUAGCCUGCGAAAAGCCUCGGUGAGGUGGCAAACAACCUAUGAACCGGGGAUGUCCGAAUGGGGAAACCCAUCCCGAUGGAAGAUCGGGAUACCUAUACAUGAAUACAUAGUGUAUAGGAGGGAACCCGCUGAAGUGAAACAUCUCAGUAAGCGGAGGAAAAGAAAACGAAGAACAUAACACAGAUUAUUUAUGUCACCGAUAACACAUUUGUGGAAUCUGUGAUGUAUCAAUCUGUGUUAUAUAUUCCCUAAGUAGCGGCGAGCGAAAGGGGAACAGCCCAAACUUUUUAAACUGAAAUAAUUGUGAUUUUUUGCCUUCGGGCUUGAAUGAUCAGUUGUGGACGGCUACAGGGCCACAUGUUUAUAAAGGGUUGUAGGAUGAUAUUUAGAUUUGCCUGUAACGAAUCAAUAAAGCUUGUGAUUUUUAGUAAAACUCUGCUGGAAAGCAGGGCCAAAGAGGGUGAUAGCCCCGUAUGCGAAAAUUAUCAUAACUUUAUAAUUUUAUUCCUAAGUACUGCGAGACCCGAGAAAUCUCGUAGGAAUCUGGCCGGACUAUCGGCCAAGGCUAAAUACUUUUUAUGAUCGAUAGUGAACUAGUACCAUGAGGGAAAGGUGAAAAGCAGCCCGGGAGGGCGAUGAAAUAAAACCUGAAACCAUAUACCUACAAGAAGCAGAAGCCUCGAUUUAUCGGGGUGACUGUGUUCCUAUUGAAGAAUGAGCCAACGAGUUUGUUUGUGUUGCGAGCUUAAGUCCAUUAAGGACGAAGGCGUAGUGAAAGCGAGCGUUAACGCGCGAUUUGAAAAUCUUUUUAGAUUUUCAUGUAGUAGCACGUACAAGACCCGAAACCGAGUGAGCCAUCCAUGGCCAGGGUGAACCUUGGGUAAGACCAAGGGGAGGCCCGAACCCACGCACCGUGCAACAUGCGGGGAUGAGCUGUGGAUAGCGGAGAAAUUCCUAUCGAACUCGGUAAUAGCUGGUUCUCCUCGAAAUAGCUUGAGGGCUAGCGUCGGCAUAACCAAUGCGGGGGUAGAGCACUGGAUGGGAACGGGGGAGCAAUCCUACCUAUCCUAACCAAACUCCGAAUACCGCAGGGAUCUGCUGUCAGAUACUUUUCGUUGCGAAAUUUUCAGAUUUUGUGGCAGAAUUUUUAAUAAAUUUUUGAAGCAUAUCCGCAGGAUACGUUGAAAAAAUUUUUAGAAAUUAUGGCCAAAAUCUGGGAAUUGCAGCAGAAAGGGUAUCUGACAGCAGAUCCCAUGGAUACCGGCAGUCAGACCAUGGGGGCUAAGCUCCAUCGGUCAAAAGGGAAACAGCCCAGACCGCCAUCUAAGGUCCCUAAAUCUAGAUUAAGUGUAUAAGGUGGUGAAACGACUUUUACAACCAGGAGGUUGGCUUAGAAGCAGCCAUCCUUUAAAGAAAGCGUAAUAGCUCACUGGUCAAGUUGUCUUGCGCCGAAAAUGUAUCGGGGCUAAAUCUAGUACCGAAGGUGCGGGCUCUUACUUUAGUAAGAGCGGUAGAGGAGCGUUCUGUACGCGCUGAAGUCGAGUUGUGAAGCUCGGUGGAGCGUACAGAAGUGAGAAUGUUGGCAUGAGUAGCAAAAAUGAAGGUGAGAACCCUUCACACCGUAAGUCCAAGGUUUCCUGGGCAACGAAAAUCGACCCAGGGUUAGUCGGUCCUAAGGCGAGCCCCGCUUGACGGGGGUAGUCGAUGGAUAAGCAGGUUAAUAUUCCUGCACUUCCGUAGAAUUUAAUCUAACGGACGCAUCACAAUAGUCUCUGCGUGAUUUUGGCUAUUCGCGUGGCUGGCCCGAUUUAUCGGGCUGGACGCAGCCUGAACCGCAAGGGGAGGGCAAUAGAGGUGAAUGUGGUGCCAAGAAAAGGUUAGUGUAUAUUUUAUGGAAUCCGUACCGCAAACCGACACAGGUGGACGGGCAUAAGCGUGCCAAGGUGUACGAGAGAAACAUUGUUAAGGAACUCGGCAAAACAGCGGCCGUAACUUCGGGAUAAGGCCUGCCUCCGAUUUAUCGGAGGCCGCAGCAAACGAUUCCAAGCGACUGUUUACCAAAAACACAGGUCCCUGCUAAACCGUAAGGUGAUGUAUAGGGGCUGAUGCCUGGCCAGUGUCAGAACGUUAAGGAGAUGGGUGAAACGUGCGUCGCUAUCGCAACGCACUAAAAUCAAAUAUAAAAUAUAAAAUAUCAAAAACAAUGUGUCGCUUCGCGACAUAAUAAUUAGUGAAAAAUUUUGUAAAAAUUUUUCACACCAAUUUUUUUAUUUUUAAUUUUUGGUUUUAGCGACGCGAUAGCGGCGCGCAUGUAGCCUUGAACCGAAGCGCUGAUGAACGCCGGCGGUAACUAUAACCGUCCUAAGGUUUUGCAUCUAUAUUAUAUGGAUGCAAAAGGACUGGGACGGUUUAAAAAUAAAAAUGCUGCCUCGCUUUGUAGUAAUAUAAAGCAGGUCCUAAAAAAAUAAUACAUGGCUAUAUGCUGGAAACCCAUAAUCUGGGCAAUCAGCAGGGAAGUCAUAGUGACCCCUCAGAGACCAUACGCCGUGCUCCCGAUAUAAUCGGGAUGAAGAGAUGGUCCAAAAGCACAAAGGAAGCUUAGAGCGAAAUUCCUUGUCGGGUAGACAUCUACGCGGGUCCGCCGUAAGGCGCGAUGUAGAAUUUGCCCGAAUGCAGUGGUGACACUACAGAAGUAAACCGACUCAUAACGGUGAAUGCCAGUUUACGAUAUAAUUGGUUAAUACCGUGGGAAGUCCUCCGAUGGAUAUCGGAGCGACCCCGUAACGACUGAGCUGAAAAGCGAUAUUCAAGGUACAAACUUGAAUAACACGUCGGCUCUUGCUAAAAAUAGUCAAUCUAUGGAGAUAAAAUCUUAUAUUGUCGGUUUUGUAGAUGGAGAAGGGUGCUUCUCGGUUUCUUUCAAUUUAAGAAAGAAACUAAAAAAUGGAAUAGAAGUUAGACCAAGUUUUUCCGUAAGCCAAAACGAAAGAAAUAAGGACAUAAUCUUUCGACUAAAAGAAAUUUUUGGCUGCGGAAGCGUAAGAUUUUCCGCAAAGGAUAAUAAUUACAGAUACGAAGUUAGAUCAAUUAAGGAUUUAACUCAAAGUAUUAUUCCGUUUUUUGAGAAAUAUCCAUUACAAACAAGUAAACAGAAUGAUUUCAUUUUGUUUAAAAAUAUCUGCAAGACGAUUAAGAAUGGCGAGCAUUUAUCGCAAAAGGGCUUGAUAAAUAUAAUUAAUCAAGCGUAUCAGAUGAAUGUUGCCGGUAAAAGAAAAUUUACCAAAGAUUAUCUCCUACGGAUGACAGCAAGAUGAAGGUAUAGUCUAAUCAUUAAGGUAACUUAAUGCGGAUUGAAGUUCCGACCCGCACGAAUGGCAUAACGACUUGGAAACUGUCUUGACAAUGUACUCGGCGAAAUUUUAACACGAGUGAAGAUACUCUUUACCCGCGGCUGGACGAAAAGACCCCGUGAAGCUUUACUACAACUUGAUAUUGGAGUAGGGUUCCGCAUGUUCAGAAUAGGUGGGAGGUCCGACGCAAGUCGGACCGACAGUGAGAUACCACCCUUGCGUUGCUUUAUUUCUAACCUAAGGCCUUGAAUCAGGUCUCGGGGACAGUUUCUGGUGGGUAGUUUAUCUGGGGCGGAUGCCUCCCAAAAAGUAACGGAGGCGUUUACAAAGGUUGGCUUGGCCCGAAUGGAAAUCGGGUUUUAAAGUGCAAACGCAUAAGCCAGCUUUACUGGAACUCCUACAAGAGGACCAGUUACGAAAGUAGAAGUUAGUGAUCCGACCGUUCGUUAUAGGACGGCGGAAGCUCAUCGGACAAAAGCUACUCCGGGGAUAACAGGCUGAUUCCUCCCGAGCGUCCACAGCGACGGAGGAGUUUGGCACCUCGAUGUCGGCUCGUCUCAUCCUGGGGGUGAAGAAGCUCCCAAGGGUUUGGCUGUUCGCCAAUUAAAGAGGCACGCGAGCUGGGUAAGUGAAAAUGAGCCCCUCCUAAGAGUGAUUUUAGGAGAGAAAACCGGCUAAUAACGGUGAAGCCCUUAUUACGAUUAUAUGAUAUAAUAUAGGAGUAUGGGGGUAAUAUCGUGGGAAAAUAAUCUUAAAUUAACUGCUGACCAAUAUGAAUUAGUGGUCGGUAGUUUAUUGGGUGAUGCGCGUUUAGAGUGUCGUUCCUUACAAGGAACGGCUAGAUUGCGCAUUCAUCAUGCAGAUUCACAGAAGGAUUAUGUAUUGUGGAAAUAUGAGCAAUUAAAAAAUCUUGUUAAAACAGAACCAAAAGCAAUUAGAUCGUGGAAUAAUAAGUAUGAAAAAUGGUAUCAUUCAUAUUAUUUUCAUACUAUUACUACAUUUGCAUUUCGUGAAUUGCACAGAAUGUUUUACCAAGAUAAUCAAAAAGGCAUUCCUAAAAAUGUUGAUAGAUUGCUUACUCCAAGAGCAUUAGCGGCUUGGAUUAUGGAUGAUGGUUGUUAUUAUAAGGGUUGCAUGAUUUGCAACACUCAAUCAUUUUCUAUAAUUGAUCAGAAGCGAUUGAUUGGAGUAUUAAAAAGUAAAUAUAACUUGAGCGCAAGCUUACAGAAAGACCGUGAGAAUUAUCGAAUUUUUAUUAAACACUCUAGUACAGAGCGUUUAAUAGAUUUAAUUGCGUUUUAUAUUAUUCCGUCAAUGCAAUAUAAGAUUAUGACCCGUAACGACUGCGUCCCAUAUUGUGGGACAAGAUGGAAGGUACCUGAUAAUCAGGAAUCUAAGCUUCCAUCAUACGCCGGCUCCUCAAAAUUGAGGAUGAAGAUAUAGUCUGUGCCAUUAGUAAUAAUGGAGUUAACACGUCAGAACGUCGUAAAUAAUUGCGACCCGCUAUUGUAAAGUAGCAGAAAAAUUUGGCUAAUAUCGGUGAAACCCCUAAUAAUCAUGACCGAACACUAUUAAGGGCAAUACCGAGGGAAGUUGUCUCGCAUUGCGCGGGAUUAACCCCGUAACGACUGCGCCCGCAAGGGCAAUAUAAAAGGCAACCGGUAAUCGGAAAAAUAAACUUUUAUAAUACGCCAACUCCCCCGAUGUCCAUCGGGGGAUGAAGAUAUAGUCUGUGCCAUUAGUAAUAAUGGAAUAGCAUGGAGACAGUUCGGUCUCCUAUCCGCCGUGGGCGUCGAGAUUUGAGAGGGCCCUUUGAUAGUACGAGAGGACCUCAAAGGACAAACCUCUAGUGUGGGAGUUGUUCUGCCAAGGGCACAGCUCCGUAGCUAGGUUUGGUUAGGAUAAACGCUGAAAGCAUCUAAGCGUGAAGCCGUCCUCAAGAUUAGAUCUCAUUAGGCACUUCGGUGCCUUGUAGGUUCCAGAGAGACGAUCUGGUUGAUAGGCAGCAGGUGGAAGCAUAGUAAUAUGUGUAGCCGAGCUGUACUAAUAAACCAAUGCUCUUUUCCCU
RNAcentral lists this ribosomal RNA (5481 nucleotides) under Patescibacteria group bacterium. RNAcentral's name for it is "23S ribosomal RNA". The stretch from base 3 to 4111 matches the Rfam family "Bacterial large subunit ribosomal RNA". The record is from RNAcentral.